Non-coding RNA from Acomys russatus (golden spiny mouse), 784 nucleotides. The record is from the annotation of a RefSeq genome assembly. NCBI's taxonomy places the organism in Eukaryota, Metazoa, Chordata, Mammalia, Rodentia, Muridae.
GUCUAGAGUACACAGGAGUCUUCAUAUCAGGGUCUCAGAAUGAGGUGCCCUGCUCAGCUCCUGGGGCUGCUUGUGCUCUGGAUCCCUGGAGCCAGUGGGGAUAUUGUGAUGACCCAGCCUGCAUACUCUAAUCCUGUUAAUCUUGGAGAGUCAGUUUCUAUCUCCUGCAGGUCUAGUAAGAGUCUCCUACAUAGUAAUGGCAAAACUUACUUGCAUUGGUACCUACAGAGGCCAGGACAGUCUCCUCAGCUCCUGAUCUAUCAGAUGUCCAAUCGUGCCUCAGGAGUCCCAGACAGGUUCAGUGGCAGUGGGUCAGGGACAGACUUCACUCUGAAAAUCAGUAGAGUGGAGGCUGAGGAUGUCGGUGUUUAUUACUGUCAGCACAGUAUAGAACUUCCGCUCACGUUCGGCGGCGGGACCAAGCUGGAGCUGAAACGGGCUGAUGCUAAGCCAACUGUGUCCAUCUUCCCACCAUCCAAGGAGGAGUUACAGGCUGGAAGUGCCUCAGUCGUGUGUUUCCUGAACAACUUCUACCCCAAAGACAUCGACGUCAAGUGGAAGGUAGAUAACAAUGAACGACAAAGUGGAGUCCUGAAGAGUCUGACGGAUCAGGACAGCAAAGACAGCACCUACAGCCUGAGCAGCACCCUCACGCUGACCAAACAGGAAUAUGAAAGCCAUUCUGUCUACACCUGUGAGGCCACGCAUAAGACGUCAACUACACCCAUCAGCAAGAGCCUCAACAGGAAUGAGUGUUAGAGCGAAGGGUCCUGAGGUGCCACCA